CCCGCACAAGCGGUGGAGUAUGUGGCUUAAUUCGAUGCAACGCGAAGAACCUUACCUAGGCUUGACAUGUAUUGCUAAGCACGUGAAAGCGUGUGACCCUUCGGGGACCUUACACAGGUGCUGCAUGGCCGUCGUCAGCUCGUGUCGUGAGAUGUUUGGUUAAGUCCAGCAACGAGCGCAACCCCUGUGGAUAGUUGCCAGCAAGUAAUGUUGGGGACUCUAUCCAGACUGCCCAGGUCAACUGGGAGGAAGGUGGGGAUGACGUCAGGUCAGUAUGGCCCUUACGCCUAGGGCUGCACACGUACUACAAUGCCCAGUACAAUGAGAACCGAGACCGCGAGGUGGAGGAAAUCUGUAAAACUGGGCCCAGUUCGGAUUGGAGGCUGCAACUCGCCUCCAUGAAGUUGGAAUCGCUAGUAAUGGCACAUCAGCUACGGUGCCGUGAAUACGUUCCCGGGUCUUGUACACACCGCCCGUCACAUCAUGGAAGCCGAUCGCACCCGAAGUAUCUGCGCUAACUAUUUAUAGAAGCAAGGUCCUAAGGUGUAGUUGGUAACUGGGAUG
This 564-nucleotide ribosomal RNA is filed under the name uncultured bacterium. RNAcentral's name for it is "bacterial SSU rRNA". It matches the Rfam family "Bacterial small subunit ribosomal RNA", at positions 920 to 1482 of the family's 1533-position model. The record is from RNAcentral.